RNAcentral lists this unclassified non-coding RNA (338 nucleotides) under soil metagenome. Its description in RNAcentral is "partial contains 5.8S ribosomal RNA, internal transcribed spacer 2, and large subunit ribosomal RNA". The stretch from base 1 to 121 matches the Rfam family "5.8S ribosomal RNA", at positions 35 to 154 of the family's 154-position model. The record is from RNAcentral.
GAUGAAGAACGCAGCGAAAUGCGAUAAGUAAUGCGAAUUGCAGAAUUCCAGUGAGUCAUCGAAUCUUUGAACGCACAUUGCGCCCCUUGGUAUUCCAUGGGGCAUGCCUGUUCGAGCGUCAUUUGUACCUUCAAGCUCUGCUUGGUGUUGGGUGUUUGUCUCGCCUCUGCGUGUAGACUCGCCUCAAAACAAUUGGCAGCCGGCGUAUUGAUUUCGGAGCGCAGUACAUCUCGCGCUUUGCACUCAUAACGACGACGUCCAAAAGUACAUUUUUACACUCUUGACCACGGAUCAGGUAGGGAUACCCGCUGAACUUAAGCAUAUCAAUAAGCGGAGGA